UUUGCUGUUGAAGUGUUUUGUCCUACCCGUAAUUGCGGUGAACCUAUAGCAUCAUCAUCUGCCUCAAUCAAUUGACUCUCGUUGUCUGAUGUAAAUUCUGAUUCUGGCAAUUAAGAUUUUCUAUGAUAUUGUACCGGAUACAUCUAUAAAAUAAUCUGGUCACUGCCUUUUUUAAUUGUCAAUGUGCCUCGACCCCAAUCGUUCUUAGCUUUGGCUUGAUA
RNAcentral lists this long non-coding RNA (221 nucleotides) under Physcomitrium patens. Its description in RNAcentral is "long non-coding RNA (PPAT_LNC014294)". Lineage: Eukaryota; Viridiplantae; Streptophyta; Bryopsida; Funariales; Funariaceae. The record is from RNAcentral.